Molecule: non-coding RNA, 204 nt
Organism: Pseudonaja textilis
Lineage: Eukaryota; Metazoa; Chordata; Lepidosauria; Squamata; Elapidae
Source: RefSeq, a predicted model, not a curated record
UUGUCUGCAGUUCCAAAGCAAUGCAUGAGAAACCAGGGCUCAUGCACAACCUGGACAAGCUGGAAUCCUGGCACAAGGAGAAGACCUUGGACUCUCCGAAUGGCAGCUUGAAUCUGGACAAUGCUGUAAAGAAUGAAGAACUCAAGAAAUGUCCCCAAGAAGUCACGGCUCCCAAUAAAUAUAAUUCUCAGUAUCACAAGUUAU